GCAGGCUGCAACCCGCCCUGCAUGAAGUUGGAAUCGCUAGUAAUCGCGGAUCAGCAUGCCGCGGUGAAUACGUUCCCGGGCCUUGUACACACCGCCCGUCACACCAUGAGAGUCGGGAACACCCGAAGUCCGUAGCCUGACCGCAAGGGGGCGCGGCCGAAGGUGGGUUCGAUAAUUGGGGUGAAGUCGUAACAAGGUAAC
This 201-nucleotide ribosomal RNA is filed under the name uncultured bacterium. Its description in RNAcentral is "partial 16S ribosomal RNA". It matches the Rfam family "Bacterial small subunit ribosomal RNA", at positions 1300 to 1500 of the family's 1533-position model. The record is from RNAcentral.